GCAUUCCACGGGACAUGAUGCUGGCCUUCUACAGUGCUGAUCAGACCUAGUAAGCACAAAGUCGCAAAUAUCCCAGACACCCUGACCACAGACACACAUGUAUACCAAGGACAGGAAUAAAUACCUAAAACUGUAAGGCACUGCCACCUUCUUAGAUGUCUUGGUGAGAGGUCCACUGUUCAGAGGGCACACUGAGAUAUAAGGCGAAGGCCUUUUUGGAUCUGUAGUGUGCUACCUCUUUAAUGGGAAAUCUUAGAGGCUAUCAGUAUUGAAUGGUGACCAGAGGAAAAUACUGCUCUACAUAUAGGUCUGGGCUGUCAUACAAACUGAUCUGCUACUGGGGCCUCAUGACCUAGCAGAUCCAAAAGUAUUCAACAUGUUUGUGGCAGAUGCAAAUGCUGUUUAGAACCUUCGAGAGGUCGCUGUAGAAGCACAAUGCAAAACUUCAGGAUUUUGGAGCAAAACUUUGUCAUCUUUUGCACACACAGUGUUCUCUUUUGAUAGCUCCUGGUGUGCUACUGGACCUUAGUAGAGAUAGAAUGUCUGACUCUGAGCCACUAAGUAACCAUUCAACCUCUUCUGCCCUUCAAGAACUGGGAAAUGUCUGAAAAAACAAGUAAUGAAACGUGUGUAUAGCAGCACUCCAUUACAAGUUGUAGUUUUAUAUACGAGAUUGGUCUCAAGCAAGACCUAAAGGUAAAAGUAAGAGGCUCAGAUUUGCAUGGCUCCUCCUCUUGCUGCAUUAACUGCUGUCUCUCAACGCAAGCAUACUGUAACAUAUUGAUGGAGGAGGAAAAUGCUGAGUCUCGUUUACUGAUAAUUCUAUGUAACAUGCUGGCAUCACCUAAAGUGGAGAACUGCGAGAUUACUGCCCCAUCCAAGAAAACCCUUCAGCAGCCCCAUUCUUCAGGAACCGUGAAGGACUAUGGCAAAGAACUAUCUGAUGAUGAAACGACCCAGACUCAAUUUUCCCAACUUCAGAGCCUUUUCUAUCCAUGAUCCCUCAUUCCUGCCUUUCUUGCCAUUCCUGUCCUGUCUCUCAACCUGACAAUGAAGCAUUUAUAUCGGAUCAAAUGAAACUCGCAUACUUUCUGUGACUUAAAAUCAGAAGUUUCCCUUGUCAAUUUCCCUUGCCACCUCUAAGAAAAGCUUAUCUAUGUUAAGUUC
RNAcentral lists this long non-coding RNA (1167 nucleotides) under Homo sapiens (human). Its description in RNAcentral is "MIR4458 host gene". The record is from RNAcentral. Lineage: Eukaryota; Metazoa; Chordata; Mammalia; Primates; Hominidae.